Molecule: non-coding RNA, 7804 nt
Organism: Oryctolagus cuniculus (rabbit)
Lineage: Eukaryota; Metazoa; Chordata; Mammalia; Lagomorpha; Leporidae
Source: RefSeq, a predicted model, not a curated record
AUUACAUUAAAUUCUCCUUCAUUUUGUGUAAACGCAUGACAAAAAAUCUUUAAAAGCACUUCCAUUAUAUUUAUGCUCACUAAGCAGUGCGCCACGAUUGUUUAACUACAGUUUCAAUGUUUCCAUAAAUGCAGCAUUGCUGACCCAGUAGAAACCCAGUAUUACUGAGUUCUUUUUCAAUUACCUGAGCAUCCCCUGGGUCCAAGAGGAUGAAUAAGUUUUCAAGGAUUGCUGACUCUCCUAUCCUAAUAGGAAAGGUUAUUUCUACUCUUUCUACCAGGUGAAUUUAUUUUUAUUGGUGUUUGUUUAGUAACUUCAGACAUUUUAUGAAGUCAGUGACUAAAACCUUUCUUAAAACUUUAAACAUUGGAAAGAUAGCCAUUAGUUUCCUACUAAUAUGCAUUUCAACUCUUUAUAUGCAAAAUUAAGAUCAUCAUAAUUUAAUUUUUUUGUUUUAUCCAAAUGAUGGUUUUGUUUUCUGUCUCCAACAGUGAGAGUAGUAGUUUACUUGCUCCACUAAGAAUACACAAAGAGCAAAUAAGUUGAAAUUCCAGCAUGUGAGAUUUAAAUAAGUAAUUAAAUAUGAUUUUUUAAAAUAGAAAUUUUAAAAUAAUGGACCUUUUUGUGAUUAAUUUGAGAUCCUGUGGGCUAUAUAGUUGACAUAUUUACUCUGAGUUGUAGGUAUUUCAUCGGCUUUUGCAUGAAGGAGAAUGGACAAGAUGCUUCUGAAAGUUGGCCAGCAUUCUGCUAUGGAGAGCUGCCUUUACAAGAGAAGAAAUAUCAGGAAUGGUGCCCCUAAGUUAACUGUUCUGCCUACGGAUAAAGUGCAAACAUCUCUACACACACUGUUUUCUCCUGCAAGGAAAACUCUGAGGACCAGAGUAUAAGAUGGCCACCACCACACCAGCUCCUAUUUCGUUCUUCCAACACAGAAGGCAGUUUUGAUUGGACUCCCUGGAGAACCGAACCUGAGGCAGAGACGUGCAUGCAAAAAGUCCAGGGGAUAUUGACUGGAAUAAUGAGGGAAGGAAGCAGGCUUCAGGGGAGUGAAGAGACUGCAUUGCACUUCCAGCAAUGGUGUUGGCAUAUCCCACAGGGAAUCUCACGUUGGUUGGCCCAUCAGAAUCAAAGUGGGGCAUGAGGCUGGGCCCGCACUCUCACUUCUGACAGGCAUCCGAUGUGUGCGCAUGACUUGGAUAAGUUGCUCCCUGAAGGAGAUUGAUUUGUGAGGGACCAAGAGCCUACAACUCUGGAAAUGCUGUCCUUAGUGCCUUGUUCUCUAAGGUGUGUUCACCAUGAUGCUUUGCAGCCAAGGCGGCCCUUGUCAGAGCCAGCAGCGUCCCUCCAAAACUGUGAGUUCAAUUAUCCUCUUUCUUUACAAACUACCGAGCCUCAGAACCUCAGUCUGCCUUGGAAAAUCUGCACAUUCAUGAGUCAUACACAAGUCUCCAGUGGAAUGUUGAGAUCCCUGUCUCCUGUCCUGAAAAGACUGCGAUCAGUUUACUUUUCUGGUCCAAUAGGUCUGGAGUAGCAAGUGGAAAUUAGUUCUUUUCAAGGGACUACUACUACAGAACUACUGAUAGGCAUUUAAAUGAAUAAAAAGAAACUUUGGUCCAGAAACGGCAGUGACUAAGAAAACACUGGUAAUAUAGCUUUUCUAAAUACUAUGCUUCACAAAAAUGUAUCAAGCAGCAAAAUAAGAAAUGUUAAGAAAAAUGACUUACGCAUUUACUUUGUAAAUUUAUCUUGCUCAGAAGCAUAUAUCUGAAUCAGAUACUAUGCCACCAGAGCAGAGGCCCUGAAUGUAAAUGGGUGCCAAGUCAUGAACUCCUGAAAUAUAAUAUUUAUGAGGAAUAGUAAUUAAACACAGAGAUGUAAAAUAGUGAUAAAUAUUCUAGUGAGACUGAACCCUAGUGAGACGGUACCAGAUCUCACAUUGUAUGAGGGCAGCACCGUAGCAUGCCAUAUCUGCACACUGAAUUCAACUGUGUUUCAUUCUGGAUGUUUUAGACAAAAUGUUGAUGAAAACACUUAAAUUUCUUUAACAUUUUGGGCCUAAUUGCAAAGAAUAAUUACAAAUGUAAUACACAAGUGAAUUAUAAUCUCACCCUUAUGAGCUUUACUUUCUUAACCUAUUUAAAAUUACUAUCAAUUGGACUUGCUAAGACUUUAACCAUAAGAAUGGCAAAACCCCUCAUAAGAAGAAAAACACUAUAAAUUAAAAAAUAGUCAUUAUCCAUAUAAUUGGACAAACUUUAAAUUAAUCCUAGGUUUGACUUGGAAAUAUUAUUAGCAUGUUGAACUUGUACAAGAUGUAGAUGCUUUGCAGACUUAAUAAAAGAUGACGGGUUAAUUAAAUAUUGGAGAUAUGCCAAGGCACAGAUACCUCCUCAUCACAGUGUUCAGCAGGUGCUUGCAUCCCAAGUGUUGCAUCUCAGUUGUAGGUAAGUUCACAAAAUAAUUAGGAUCAUGGUGGAUGGUUGGUUUUUAACUUACUUGAAUAAUUUGGUAUUCAGUGUUUAGGAAAAUUAGCAUGAGAUAAUACUGGCAUAACAUGCAAAUAUUUAUUAAUGAAGCUAACACUCUGAAUAUUCAUUUGUUUAAAGAUUUCACUUAAAAUGAUCAGGAGUAAAUCUGUCUCUCGAGCAGGCAACCCAAAGUCCAUCUUAGAGGCCAUGAUUUCCUAAAUUUCCAAUGACUUAAGAGUUUAUAUGACCUUCACUUGGUUUUGUUGAAGAUUCAAUAGUUUAGUGGUGAUUCCUUUUGAUGGACUGAAUAAUAUGAAUUACAAUCAUGUUCAUACUAAACUUGUAUGAUUCCAGGAAAUCCCAGUAAUAUCCUAGUAAUGAAUGCACUAUUGCCUUGAAUGAAUUGUGAAUUCUGUAAAAUUUCCCCACUGUAUCUUCAGGUUCCUCAUCUACACAUUCAACAGAUAGCAGAUGGAAAAUAGUUGUAAAAAAAUGUGCCUCCAUUGAAAGUGCAUAGAUGUUUUUCUUGUCAUUAUUCUGUAAACAAUGCAGUAUAGGAGGUAUCUGUAACAGUUACAUUAUGUUAACUAUUAUAAGCCAUCUAGACAUGAUCAAAAGUAUACGACACGAUGUGCAAAGGUUAUAUGAAGAUCUGAAAAGCCAUUUUCUAUGUAAGGGACUUGGACAUCUGAGAAUUUGGUGUCUGUGGGAGAUCCCAUGGGUGCUGUAUUUUCCUUCUCAUCUGCUUCUACACCUCCAUCUUUUUCUAGAUUGGAAUCUUCUUGAGGGCAAAUAGCUUUGUGUUUUGGUCUUCCACCAGAAUCUAGAAAAGAGUAAUAAUACAGAAAAUCAUAAGGGACUAUGCCGUGGCUCACUUGGUUAAUCCUCUGCCUGCAGCGCCAGUAUCCCACAUGGGCACCAGUCUAGUCCCGGUCGCUCCUCUUCCAGUCCAGCUCUCUGCUGUGGUCUGGGAAGGCAGUGGAGGAUGGCCCAAGUGCUUGGGUCCCUGCAACCGCAAGGGAGACCGGGAGGAAGCACCUGGCUCCUGGCUUCAGAUCAGCAUAGCUCUGGCCAUAGUGGCCAUUUGGGGAGUGAACCAAUGGAAGGAAGACCUUUCUAUCUGUCUCUCUCCUUCACUGUCUAACUCGGUCAAAUAACAAAAAUUUAAGAAAAAAGUCAUAUAAUACUUAAGAAAAUCUAAUAACAGAUUACAAAAAUUUAUUGCUGAUUAUAUUUGUCAAUAUAUGAUUUUAUUUAUAUUAUUGUGCUUGUAAUUCAUAAUUCAUAACAGAUUAUAUAAAUUACAUUUUAAAUAUGUUCAUUUACUUUUGUAUCUAACUCAAAACCACCUGAAGGGGCUCUAAUUAUGUGUUUAUACCUUACACAAAGUGAACAUUCUAUAUAUUUAUGCAAAUUUUUGGUAAAUUACAUGAAAAAUAUGGAAGCAUGUAAUCUAAAUGCCAGUUAACUUUUUGAUUAGUUUUAUCUUUAUUCUCAAGUCAUCUCAUUUCUAUGAAUCCAAACUAUAUAGGUGAGCCUAAAUUAAUAGAUCAUUUCAACAGAAUCAUAAAACAGGGUCCAAUCACAUAAAAAGUCUUUUAUGUUAGCUGUUUGAUAUCUCUCCAAUAAAGUGAUACAUAUUUUAUAGGGAAAUUGUAACCACUCUUGAUAUUAGAGAGAGAAUUAUAACUCUGCUUGAUCCUGUAUUCUAGGCAAAUGUAUGAGCCCUUGGUCCCUAAAUAGUGAAAUGCCUUCAAGCCAAUUUGAGAGAAAUAAUAACAAUUUGGAAUAAUAUGUGCUCAGUUUCCACUUGUCCACCUCUGAGUAUAUUCUUAAUUUUGUGGUUAAAGGGCUAUUACAGAAGAGAGCAGAAUGAAGUAAUAUUCAGCAGGUGGUAGGCAAUAUGUGCACAUGAUAAUCAUUAGGGAACCACCUGGAUUUGUCUCAUCCCAGCCAAACCCAUCUCUUAUCCGAUAAUACAACAUGAUUCAGACAUUAGGGAAAAAGACAUGGAGUUACUUAUUCCCAAUGCAGUGAUAUACAGUGACUGUUUAGAAUAUUCUAAACUAUAUGGAUGUUUAUUGACUUUUGACAGGAUUAUGUCCUUACAUACUCAUCAUAAAUUGAAAAUACCUUAAGUCGAAAAUGCAUUUGGAACACCUAACCUCCUGGAAUCACAGCUAAGCAAUACAGUACAUAACACUCAAGAAUGUCAUUUGUUUCCUCUCAUGAUCAUGUGGCUGACAUGAAGCUGCAGCCUGCUGCUGCUGCCCAGCAUCAUGAGAAAAUGUCAUAACAUUAAGCCCAAGAAAAGAUCCAAAUUAAAAGUAUAAUUUCUACUGAACGCACAGCACUUGCAUAUUUUUGUAAAGCUGAAAAACUCUAAUCAAACCGUGAUGAGACAAGACAGUCCAUUUAUAGAAAUAUUGUUUAUCUGUGUCUUUGUAAAUCUAUCUAAAUCUAUACAAAAUAAAGGAAGGAACUAAUUUCGGUGUACUGGUACAGAUUUUCUUUGCUUUUCUCUAUUCAAAUUGGUGUUUCACUAAGAAGGAAAUCAUGUACAGUUCUGCAAGCAACAAUAAUUGAUAAACAUUUGUAUUAUGCUUAAUAAUAUUGUGAGCUUUGUAAAGCAGGUUUUAGAUUUUAUCAUUAAUUUGUUUAAUAUUCAGAUUAUUUACCAACAAAUAUUCAGAGUAUUUAAGCUGUGAUCAAAAUAGUUACUGCUCAGUCUGUGAGCUUUAGCUCUCAUUUGGAAAAUAGAAGCAGUCCCAUUUAAUAAGAUUUUUAGAAAUAUACAAAGAACAAAUACAAGGGAAGUCCCUGGAAAAUUGUCUAUCGCUUUGUAAGUACUGAUUUUGUAUUAAAUUAUAGCUAGUCUGCCAAAAUAUGUUUUGAAAUGAAAAAAGAUCAGAUUUAGUUAAAUCUUAAACAAAAUUUAGGAGUUUUAUUCAAACUAUAUUAUUGGUGAUACAAUUUAGGGGUCGAGAAAGGCUGGUAAUUAUCAAAGAUUAGAAUAUUUUAUGUAAAGUGAUAUUACCUUGGAGGACAUGUCUCUUUAUCUUUGUCAAGGCAUUCUUUGCAGCAGGAGAAAGAUGAUGAAAAAGGUGGAGAUUAUAACUUUGCAACUUUUUUGACCUAUUUUUUGGUCUCUUCUAUUUUUAGUAAGCUUUUUUUAAUUCUUCAGAUCCUAGAGAGGCGUUACACACCUUGAGCAUCAUUUCAGAGGUGAUAAUACAGUAUAUAAAUUAGAGGAUCUAUGAGAAAUAGUUGACUAUGAAUGCAUUUUGCAUAACUUGUAUAAGACAUGAGGGGAGAAAAUAUUAUAAAAGAGUAUUUAUGCUAUUUCUAGCUUCCAAAGUGUUAUUAAGCAAAGCAUAAGAAUGCAUUCAUCCUGCAUAAGAGGGGAAGAGUCUUGAGAUGUAAUAAAGGUUUAUGAUUUUGAUUAAAAUCAAUACAUUUUCUAGACCAUUGUGUUAUACUCUUGAAAUGAAGCGGUUAGUUUGGCAGCACACUGUUAAUCUAUAAAAUGUUAGUGUCUUUUUUUUUUUUCUACUUGCCCAGAGUUAGAAGAGUCUUUGUGUUUUCAGUUUGAUCCAGUGCUCCUAUGUGUGGAAUGACACUCAUUACUUUCAUUUGUCAAUCUUUUUGUAGACGAUCCUUGCAUAAUUUUAAGAGCAUCAUCAAACAUUCCAAACGGGUUAUAGUUAUUUUAGUAUUUCAUUGUAAUAAUUUCUGUCCAACCAUAGAGAGGAAAUGUUUCAUUAUUUGGCCUAUCGCUCUAUCUUUUCUGCGUUUGCUCUAAGUAAAACUUUGUUAUGAAAAAUGUCAACACAAAUUCCACAUUGUAGAAUGAUUACGUUAUUGAAGACUGCAGAUCAGAUAAUGUAUCAGUAUUUGUUCCCUACUUCAUCAUUAGAGCUACGCCUCCAAAGGAAAUUGAUAAAUUGCUAGUAAUAGGUGCUUUCUGAGUGUCUGCAACUAUGUUCUUUAUACAGAACAAACUGGAAAACAUCAGUUGGAAGAAACUUACUGGGGAAUUAAGAAUAUUUUAUUAGGGAAAGAAGAAAGUGUUUCUUCUAUUUUAAAAAAAUGUAUUUAGAGAAUACAUAUCAAUUUAGUGUUUAAACCAAUUUUUCUUAGAGUAUACAAAAGCAGGGGAUAUGUUUUAAACAAUGCUCAUCUUUUCUUUAAAGGAAUGUUGUUAAAAUUCCCAUUUACAAAUUAAUUUUAAUCUAUUUUAAUUGACAAGUUAAAGUGAGAUGGUAAUAAAAAGCCUUAAGGGAAUAGGAAAAUUCACUUUAGAAAGAGGCUAUUUUCCCUACCACUCUGUUAAUGUGUCAAGAGAAGGGUCUGAGCAAAUUCAGGGUUGGAAUGAUAUAUGGCAACUUAUUAAUUUCAAUUAUCUUUCAUCAUUUUCAAUAAACACCAUUCAAAUUCUCUUUCUCUUUGGUUAACAUGCCAGUUAUAAGAACAUUGCAUUGUAAUUAAGUGUUCAGAUUCUAGGUGCUUAUUAGACAAACUGUAAACUUGUUUUGGAUUUCAGGGAUGCAAAACCACCCCAUUUCUCUGACACUCUGUUUAUUUCUUGGUACAAGCUCCUUCUACUUUUCUAUGCGUUUUCUAAAACAGACCUUCCUUAGUGCUAAAGUAAGUGUGUAGAAAGUUUAAGACACUAGCAUCCCAGAUGAGAUUAUUCCCAGUUAGGGAUAAUGAGAAUCAAAGAGAUUCCAGAAGGAUACUCGGCCAUAGGAAAGAGAACAAUAAAUAAAAAACUAAAACAAAAAUGCACAAUAUUUCAACACUGUAGAAGUUUUCAAAUCCAAUUUUAUUGCUCUGAAUGUGCGUGUGAACCAGACAUAAUGGCCAUUAUUUUUAGAAGGUGUCCAGGAUUAGAUAUAAUGAUGCCUUUAUGUGCUUCAAAAUGGAUUUAUUCCCCAAGCAAUCAUGCUGAAUGCAAAAGCACACUAUAAUGUGAAAUAUUUACCUCUUCUAUUGAGUUUCCCAAGUGUGUGUUCAUAGUCCCCAAAGUAAGAUUAAAAACAACUUUAUGAAAACAUUUCUGUGUCCUACACUACUCUAGUUUCUCUUAGGUAUAACACUAAAUUUCCCCAGAGCCUCUCACAUUUUCAGGUCUUAAUUCAGGAGUAUAUAUACUAAUUAAGAAAAAUGCAUUUAUUUUAAGAAGGGCAUUUUGUAUUAUGUCACAUGAGGAUAAUACCUUGGUCAUAUUAGAUACCUACUUAGACUUUUAUUAAAAGUCAUGCUUGUAAUUGUGUCAUAUACAGUAUUGGUACCAACUGCUUAAAUUUGGACAUAGAUAAAGCUUGAGAGACUAG